UCCCUGGCGGUCCAGUGGUUAAGACCCUGUGCUUCCACUGCAGGGGAUACAGGUUCUACUCCUGGUUAGGGAA
Molecule: transfer RNA, 73 nt
Filed under: Bos taurus (domestic cattle)
Lineage: Eukaryota; Metazoa; Chordata; Mammalia; Artiodactyla; Bovidae
Rfam family: tRNA
About the family: Transfer RNA (tRNA) molecules are approximately 80 nucleotides in length. Their secondary structure includes four short double-helical elements and three loops (D, anti-codon, and T loops).
Source: Rfam by way of RNAcentral